UUUCCGUAGGUGAACCUGCGGAAGGAUCAUUACUGUAGAGGGGCUACGUGCCCCCGCGCAACGAUGCAACCCUUGCCUUUUGUCGCAACGCCUUUUCCCCUCGGCGGCUUCGGCCGCCGGCGUGGGACCGCAAAACCCUUGCAAUCUCAGUACAACAGGUCAGUCAUUUGUAAAUGUUUAAAACUUUCAACAAUGGAUCUCUUGGCUCUGGCAUCGAUGAAGAACGCAGC
Molecule: unclassified non-coding RNA, 230 nt
Filed under: uncultured fungus
Lineage: Eukaryota; Fungi
Description: sequence contains ITS1, 5.8S rRNA gene
Rfam family: 5.8S ribosomal RNA (bases 182-230)
Source: RNAcentral